This 253-nucleotide ribosomal RNA is filed under the name uncultured bacterium. RNAcentral describes it as "partial 16S ribosomal RNA". It matches the Rfam family "Bacterial small subunit ribosomal RNA", at positions 524 to 776 of the family's 1533-position model. The record is from RNAcentral.
UACGUAGGGUGCAAGCGUUAAUCGGAAUUACUGGGCGUAAAGCGUGCGCAGGCGGUUUGCUAAGUCAGGUGUGAAAUCCCCGGGCUUAACCUGGGAACUGCGCUUGUAACUGGCAAGCUAGAGUGUGGCAGAGGGGGGUGGAAUUCCACGUGUAGCAGUGAAAUGCGUAGAGAUGUGGAGGAACACCGAUGGCGAAGGCAGCCCCCUGGGCUAAAACUGACGCUCAUGCACGAAAGCGUGGGGAGCAAACAGG